UCUCUGGUGGUCCAGUGGCCAAGACUCUGCACUCCCAAUGCAGGGGGCCUGGGUUUGAUCCCUGGUCUGGGAA
RNAcentral lists this transfer RNA (73 nucleotides) under Capra hircus (goat). It matches the Rfam family "tRNA". From Rfam's summary of the family: Transfer RNA (tRNA) molecules are approximately 80 nucleotides in length. Their secondary structure includes four short double-helical elements and three loops (D, anti-codon, and T loops). Lineage: Eukaryota; Metazoa; Chordata; Mammalia; Artiodactyla; Bovidae. The record is from Rfam by way of RNAcentral. RNAcentral also lists the same sequence under 1 other name.